UGGCGGCGAUAGCGCGGUGGUCCCACCUGACCCCAUGCCGAACUCAGAAGUGAAACGCCGUAGCGCCGAUGGUAGUGUGGGGUCUCCCCAUGUGAGAUUAGGGAACUGCCAGACU
This 115-nucleotide ribosomal RNA is filed under the name Moellerella wisconsensis. The record is from RNAcentral. Lineage: Bacteria; Pseudomonadati; Pseudomonadota; Gammaproteobacteria; Enterobacterales; Morganellaceae.